Silurus meridionalis is the source of this 1479-nucleotide RNA transcript. It is a transcript of the gene named ALK and LTK ligand 1, with no coding region annotated. The record is from RefSeq and is a predicted model, not a curated record. Lineage: Eukaryota; Metazoa; Chordata; Actinopteri; Siluriformes; Siluridae. The transcript is spliced from 7 exons.
CCAAAACUGGUACCAUUUACGCGUGAACGUGCCGCAGCGGGAGCGCGCAUUUACACGGCAGCGCGCGUUAUUGGAAAAAAAAGGGACGAUUUAAAACAAUUUCUACUGAUAACAAGAAAAUAAAUAAAAUUAUAUAUGUGUUUGUGAAUGAAAAGAAGUGAGCAAGAGGAUUGAAGCUUUGGAGCUGAAAGGAGGGGGGUGUCAAGAAGAGAUAACAAGAAGAAGAGCAAGAAGAAGAAGGAGGUAGUACUAAUAAUUACCAUCAUCAUCAACAUAAAAAAAGAAGGGACACAAAAAAAACACCCUGAUGGAGGGUGAAAGAUGUCCUUGUCUCCUGCCACCCACCCGAAAUCGAUUGCGUUACAUCAAGAAAUCUCUCCAGUUUGACGUAUAAAACAGGACGCAUGCUGGGGAAAGAGUCGAGUGUGUUCUCCAGAGCCGGACAGGAAUAUACAUACACUCAUACACAAAGACACACACACACACACACAUACACACACCACCGGCAGUGCCACCAAGCAGUCCGGUGCAAGGACAGCAGAGAAGCGACGCUCGGGGACAAGCAAACUCUGCUGGACCUGCUGCUGCGCGUGAUCGUGGACGGCGAGCGGGAAAAGAUCAACACACGGGACAAAUCCGCCCACGGCAGGCCAAUAGAGAUUGUGCUGAGAGAUGUCACAAUUAAGGACAGGUUUAUAAAACAUUUCACAGCAGGACCAGUCAAGUUUCCGUCAGAGUGCAGGAUGCAUUUUCACCGGAUUUACCACAACACCAGGGAGUGUUCCAGACCUGCAUUCUACAAAAGAUGUGCAAGAUUGCUGAUGAGAUUAGCGAUGAGCCCCCUGUGUGCUCAGCCGUAGCGGCAUUGGUAAAAACAUUUCCUGCAUGAGGACCGUGUAAAGUGGAUCCAGGCCGUAUCCCUGCGAGAUACUGAUGUUACAGAAGACGGAGCUCUGAGGAAUUGGAGCACAUGAAUUUUCCGAGGAAGUGCCUUCCACUCACCCAGUUAGAGCAAGAAAUUAAAAUAUAUCAUUGAAAUACUGUAACAUUUUAGGUUUUUUAACCAUUUGUUUCCAUAUUAAAAAAUCUAUCAAUCAAAAAUACAGUUGGCUUGGAAUUUAAUGGAUUAUUCAACAUCACAGCCAUUUAUUUAUUUAUAUGUUAUGUAAAUAUUCAGUACUGAUAAUCAGAUAAUAUAUUUAAAAAUGUAUGUUUUGUUUUAUAUUGUUUUGUGUCCUGUAGAAAGGUUAAUGAAUAUUUCUUUAUAUAUUCUUUAUUUUAUCCACAUGUUUAAUUAUGUGUUAUGUGAAAUGAGAGUUUCCUCUUUUUUGUCCGAGUUGCUUACGAUGCUGUGGUUUUGUUGUUUAAUGUGACACGUAUAGAAAUCAUUCCAAACUGUUUAAACAAAGAAAAGUCGCUAAUGGAAAAAUUGCACUGAUGUUUUGAAAAAAAAAACAAUUAAAAAAAGUUUCAAGCACA